CGGACGGGUGAGUAACGCGUGGGUAACCUGCCUUGUACAGGGGGAUAACAGUUGGAAACGGCUGCUAAUACCGCAUAAGCGCACGGCAUCGCAUGAUGCAGUGUGAAAAACUCCGGUGGUAUAAGAUGGACCCGCGUUGGAUUAGCUAGUUGGUGAGGUAACGGCCCACCAAGGCAACGAUCGGUAGCCGGACUGAGAGGUUGAACGGCCACAUUGGGACUGAGACACGGCCCAG
This 235-nucleotide ribosomal RNA is filed under the name uncultured bacterium. Its description in RNAcentral is "partial 16S ribosomal RNA". It matches the Rfam family "Bacterial small subunit ribosomal RNA", at positions 99 to 334 of the family's 1533-position model. The record is from RNAcentral.